AGGACCAGAUCCUCAUGGAACCUAUUCACCCUGGCUCUCCUUUGCCUUUGUGAAGAAUUGAUUUCCUGUGGUGUGUUUAUGAAGACUGUAACUGAAGAUUUUAGGAAAAGCAGUGUAAAAUGUUCAGAGAACAUCCACUGGUCUUGGGGUACCACUAACUGACUUUCGAAUACAGGCAGUGGUCUACCAUGGCUUACCAGAGUCUUUCACCUGUGUACUUCCCUAAACUCUGAGGAUGUUCAACACCUGAAUGACUGGAUCCUAGAGACCUGGGUGAACCUGACCAUGAUGAUCUACCCAUACCUGACCAUGAUGAUACCCAUACCUGACCAACUUUUUAAAGCUUUUGCCUUCUUGGCCUAUCAAGAAAAGUAUUCUGAUGACUGUUAUAAACAGUGUGGUGUGAGGCCAUGGACUUCCUGCAACACUACCACAUAUGGAGGCAAAAACAUCUGCUCACACUCAAACAUCAUUUUCAGCCCCAGCCUGCCUUCCAGGAAUACCCGGUUCAUGUAGGCUGCGGGCCGGCUUACUACUACUACAUGCGGUUAAAGGCAGAAGAGUGGAAAGGGACCAAACUUAGUUUCUUCUAGCCUGUUUGUUUGAUUGAGACAGCAUUUCUUUAUGUAGCCCUGGCUGGCCUGGAACUCACAAUAUAGACCAGGCUAGCUUCUAACUCAUAGAGACCCACCUGCUUCCAUCUCCCAAGUGCUGUGACUAAAGGACUAUAUCAUUACAUAUGAUUUGUUUCAGCCUUUGGUGAUAAUUCCAAUGUAAGUCAAUCACUCUCCCAAAGGAGCCACCUCUUGUUACUCAUCUUUUACUAGUGGAGGUGAAGUUCUCACACAGGUAUGGCAAGCACGGAGACUUCUAGGCUCAUCGCUAUUCUACCAGAGGAUGAAGAAUUUUGUCAAUUUGAUUUCACUCCUGGAGAGAUUAUCUUUUUUUUCUCUUUCCUUUUUUAAUUAGGUAUUUUCUUCAUUUACAUUUCCAAUGCUAUCCCAAAAGUUCCCCAUACCCCCCCCCCCCCACUCCCACUUCUUGGCCCUGGCUUUCCCCUGUACUGGUGCAUAUAAAGUUUGCACAACCAAUGGGCCUCUCUUUCCACUGAUGGCUGACUAGGCCAUCUUCUGAUACAUAUGCAGCUCUUUAGUGACAAUUUAUAUGAUUCUUUUAACAUCCAAGACUUUAAACUUGUAACAUAAAGACCUUAUAAAAAGUCAAAAAUUAAAUUUAUUUAAAUG
RNAcentral lists this long non-coding RNA (1244 nucleotides) under Mus musculus (house mouse). Its description in RNAcentral is "predicted gene, 26862". Lineage: Eukaryota; Metazoa; Chordata; Mammalia; Rodentia; Muridae. The record is from RNAcentral.